ACGAGGGCUGGCUGACUGGACAAGAGGCUGCCGCUCGAGUGGCGACCACGGGCUGUUUUUGUUCGUUUGUUUUUAACCCGAGUGAGGCAGCAGCUUGGGGUGCCAUGCAAAGGGCGGCAGAGCGGGAGGCGGUCAUAGUUGCCUCACCCGGCACAGUCCGGCGGGAGAUUAUCCCGCGCAAAUCUCAGCGAAAAAUCGCGGCAGCUACGGACGAGAAUUGCGCGGCCACGGUUGAGCUCUUCUUGCUUAGCAGCCCGUCGGAAAACGCGGCGGGUGGAAAAAUCAAUCUACUCCAAUAAGGAAUUGUUUUGCUGCCCGAGCCCGGCAACCAGGAGGGCAAGGCCGGUGAUCUAUGCACAUGUCACAACAGGCAUCUUAAAAGAGCCAUUUCUUCCUUUGGAUGAGAAAAGGAGGGCUGCUUUUGAGAAGAGCCUGCUACUGUGGUUUUUAUUUUGGAGCAGCAGUCCCAUGCAGCCAUGAAUAAGAGUAGUCAAUGGGCACUGAAAGAUGGAGAAGGGUUGAAGCUGAAUAAGCACCAUGGAGAGAGGCAGUCACCUGCUCAGGACAUUGAAGCUCCACUCCUUGUGCACUGAAUGCAUUGUCCAGUCUAUACGUUUAAGGCAGCAUUGGACAAAGCUACCCGACCAUUCUCAAAACGUUUCUCUCCAGCCACAAGGGCUGGACAUGCAAUCCUUUGAGAUCUUAGUCAAAUGUAUAGGGACAGCAGGGCUCUUUUCAAAUACAUCUCAUUGGUCUGCACUCAGUAAAACAGAGGAGAAAACAGCCAUUUUUAAAAAUGUGGGCUACAGGUGCCCCUUAUAUAGAAUCAUAGACAUACAGGAGUCAGCUCCUAGGGACUGAGGUUCCUUCAACCACAAUAAAAUAUUUGAGGGGGCUGCCCCCCAAGUUGAUGGGCAUUGCCAUUCAAAUACUGUGCCGCAUAUUGUGACCAAUUGUGCAGGGCGGAGAUUACCUCUCUCCCCCCCCCCCCAUAUUUUAUUCAAGCUGGCACCCCGAUCAUAGAAUUGUAGAGCUAGGCAUGUUACAGCUGCAGCAUGGGAGCAGUUUUGGGGGGUUAAGUCCAUGCUGCUACUGUAACUUUUACAGGCCCCGCAGUAUGGGGGUCCAUUGCUCCCUCUGUUCUUAGCCAAGUGACAAUAGGGUGGGAAGAACCUAUGCAGCUGGCCUUUUCCAGAAGACACUGGGCCUUUAAAUAUUAAGGCAAAAGUGUGGGGCGAUACCAUAAACAAGCAGCUCCUAUGCUGCUGUGGUAACAAGGGGCACCAUGCAGAUGUAAAUCAAAGCAAAGGGAAACAGAGAUACAUAUAUCACAAUGGAACUGGAUGGGAAAAUACCACAGUAUCUGAACAGAUAAUACUCAGUCACCACAGAAAUAGAAUUAGGGCUAAAAGCGGCUUAUACUAACUCAUUCUGAUUGUCAUGUACAAAAGAAAACUUAAGUAUGUAGGGAUAAUAAAUCUACCUUUUGUGAU
Podarcis raffonei (Aeolian wall lizard) is the source of this 1493-nucleotide long non-coding RNA. RefSeq lists it as uncharacterized. The transcript is spliced from 3 exons. The record is from RefSeq and is a predicted model, not a curated record. NCBI's taxonomy places the organism in Eukaryota, Metazoa, Chordata, Lepidosauria, Squamata, Lacertidae.